RNAcentral lists this ribosomal RNA (947 nucleotides) under Usnea aurantiacoatra. RNAcentral describes it as "eukaryotic LSU rRNA". It matches the Rfam family "Eukaryotic large subunit ribosomal RNA", at positions 1 to 962 of the family's 3401-position model. Lineage: Eukaryota; Fungi; Ascomycota; Lecanoromycetes; Lecanorales; Parmeliaceae. The record is from RNAcentral.
AAUUGACCUCGGAUCAGGUAGGGAUACCCGCUGAACUUAAGCAUAUCAAUAAGCGGAGGAAAAGAAACCAACAGGGAUUGCCUCAGUAACGGCGAGUGAAGCGGCAACAGCUCAAAUUUGAAAUCUGGCCCCGUCGGGGUCCGAGUUGUAAUUUGUAGAGAGUGUUUCGGGGGAGACCACGGUCUAAGUUCAUUGGAACAUGGCGUCAUAGAGGGUGAGAAUCCCGUAUGUGACUGUGGCUCGAGCCCAUGUGAAGCCUCUUCGACGAGUCGAGUUGUUUGGGAAUGCAGCUCAAAAUGGGUGGUAAAUUUCAUCUAAAGCUAAAUACUGGCUGGAGACCGAUAGCGCACAAGUAGAGUGAUCGAAAGAUGAAAAGCACUUUGGAAAGAGAGUCAAACAGUACGUGAAAUUGUUGAAAGGGAAGCGCUUGCAACCAGACCUGUCCGUAGGUGAUCAGCCGCUGUUCUCAGCGGUGCACUCGCUCUGCGAUCAGGCCAGCAUCGGUUUCGGCGGUUGGAUAAAGGCCUUGGGAAUGUAGCUCCCUUCGGGGAGUCUUAUAGCCCUCGGUGCAAUGCGGCCAGCCGGGACCGAGGACCGCGCUUCGGCUAGGAUGCUGGCGUAAUGGUUGUAAGCGACCCGUCUUGAAACACGGACCAAGGAGUCUAACAUCUAUGCGAGUGUUUGGGUGUUAAACCCAUGCGCGGAAUGAAAGUGAACGGAGGUGAGAACCCUUUAGGGCGCAUCAUCGACCGAUCCAGAUGUCUUCGGAUGGAUUUGAGUAUGAGCAUAGCUGUUGGGACCCGAAAGAUGGUGAACUAUGCCUGAAUAGGGUGAAGCCAGAGGAAACUCUGGUGGAGGCUCGCAGCGGUUCUGACGUGCAAAUCGAUCGUCAAAUUUGGGUAUAGGGGCGAAAGACUAAUCGAACCAUCUAGUAGCUGGUUCCUGCC